RNAcentral lists this ribosomal RNA (119 nucleotides) under uncultured Synechococcus sp. RNAcentral describes it as "partial 23S ribosomal RNA". Lineage: Bacteria; Bacillati; Cyanobacteriota; Cyanophyceae; Synechococcales; Synechococcaceae. The record is from RNAcentral.
GUCAAGCUACAAGGCUCCACCGGCGGAUUACCUUGUCCCACACAAGGCGAUGAAAGGAACAGUGUUACCUUGGCGGUAAGUCUCGGGGAGCUUGGGAAAACACGCUUUAUUCGGAAUUC